UACGUAGGCAGCAAGCGUUGUUCGGAAUUACUGGGCGUAAAGAGUGUGUAGGCGGUGCUCUAAGUUUGGUGUGAGAUCUCCCGGCUCAACUGGGAGGGUGCAUCGAAAACUGGAAUGCUAGAGGGUGGGAGAGGUAAGCGGAAUUCCUGGUGUAGCGGUGAAAUGCGUAGAUAUCAGGAGGAACACCUGUGGUGUAGACAGCUUACUGGACCACUUCUGACGCUGAGACACGAAAGCGUGGGUAGCAAACAGG
RNAcentral lists this ribosomal RNA (253 nucleotides) under uncultured bacterium. RNAcentral's name for it is "partial 16S ribosomal RNA". It matches the Rfam family "Bacterial small subunit ribosomal RNA", at positions 524 to 776 of the family's 1533-position model. The record is from RNAcentral.